CAGUUUUUCCCUUUGACAAAAUUGGAAGAUCAGAACAACAUUUGCAGCAACUUUUUGAUCGUGCAUUGAUAGCAAUUGAAAUCAAUGAAUGGAGUAUUCAACUAAACAAAGAAGUAGAACAAGAAAAUUGAGGGAGCGAUAGCAUAAAAGAAUUCGAAGAAUACCACCCAAGUAUUAGAGGAUCCAACGCAUGAGGGAAAUGAAAAUGGUAGUGUAUUGAUUUCUCAGAAGAAGAGGAAGUGGAGUGAUGGGUAUUACACCGUACCCAUAAGGAGCUUCGAUUAGAAACACAGUGGCGUAGGCAACUGUGGCCUCGUGGGUUCUUGUCACGACAGAGUGUCGUAUUUCGAUGGUGAAGAAAGCCCAAGAAGUGUUCUCUUUACAAUUUUGAAAACCGUGGGUGUUAGUUACAAUGCUUAAAGCAUGAUGAUGCAUGGGCAAGUGAAGCUUGACACAAGAUUAGACGAGUUGAUACAACUUUAGACAUGGAAGCUGAUGAUGGGGAUGAUUACAUUCAUCUUCCGGAUCACGGAAUGUCUCGCGUUGGCAGCGAUAGUGCUACUGACUCACAGUAUGAAGAAUACACAAGGUCUUUUUCACAAGUCUUUAAUUGCCAUGGUGCAGUUGUCCUUGAAGGAAGAUCCAUAGAUGUGGAAUUGGGAGACACAAGGUCCGUGCCUGAGGCUCUUGCGAGGUCAAAAUAGGGUUUGCACAGUUUACUUUUCCUGAAACGCUUGGAGAGGAUUUCUCAGCUGGCUAAAAUUGAAGAUCUUCAAGCAUCUCGUGACCUUCCAUUGGCACCUCUCUUCAUUAAAGAUCCUUGAGAAUACUUUCAUUCUCAGCAAGCUAAUGCAAUAAAAACUUUGGGGGACAUACUUGCUGGAACAAGAUAAAACAAAUACAGCCUCAACACCAGUGAAACUUAUGGUUUUCUAAGGGAUCGGAUAUCUGAGGUUAAAAUCACCGGAUUAAAUGAUCCCAUAGUUACUUAAACCUGACGUUGCUUUUAAGGUUUUCGAUGGAUUGACCCAAAAUAUUAAAAGCACCAAGGAUCAGCUUGGGAAGAAUCUGUAGGAGAGUGUUUUGGACAGGUUGCCAAAAAUCAUUGAAGAGGAACUCUUACAUCAUUUCUGGUUAUCAUAUCCAAUUACAACCUCAUAUCUUUAUGUUAAGAAGGCUAGUGCUGAUGGAAGCCAAUCAAAGAUGCUUUUCCUCUGCUUAAAAAAGGUAUAUUCUAAGUCAUCCUUAAGGAUGUGAUGUCUGCCAUCAUCUCUCUUUGUUUCUCUGUGUAGUUAGUCAUGACAAACUUCGUCCAGGUAUGCUUGUAAGUCGUAAUUAUUGAACUAUAAUCUAUUUUCUUGCUUUCUAACUGAUCUCGUUUUCUUUUCCCUUAGGUUCAAAUAGG
Molecule: RNA transcript, 1405 nt
Organism: Rhododendron vialii
Lineage: Eukaryota; Viridiplantae; Streptophyta; Magnoliopsida; Ericales; Ericaceae
Gene name: general transcription and DNA repair factor IIH subunit TFB1-1-like
Exons: 13
Source: RefSeq, a predicted model, not a curated record